RNAcentral lists this ribosomal RNA (253 nucleotides) under uncultured bacterium. RNAcentral describes it as "partial 16S ribosomal RNA". It matches the Rfam family "Bacterial small subunit ribosomal RNA", at positions 524 to 776 of the family's 1533-position model. The record is from RNAcentral.
UACGUAGGGGGCAAGCGUUAUCCGGAUUUACUGGGUGUAAAGGGAGCGUAGACGGUUAUGCAAGUCAGAAGUGAAAGCCCAUAGCUCAACUUCGGGACUGCUUUUGAAACUGUGUAACUAGAGUGCAGGAGGGGUAAGCGGAAUUCCUAGUGUAGCGGUGAAAUGCGUAGAUAUUAGGAGGAACACCGGCGGCGAAGGCGGCUUACUGGACUGUAACUGACGUUGAGGCUCGAAAGCGUGGGGAGCAAACAGG